AGAGUGAACGCUGGCGGUAGGCCUAACACAUGCAAGUCGAACGGCAGCACAGUGGUAGCAAUACCAUGGGUGGCGAGUGGCGGACGGGUGAGGAAUACAUCGGAAUCUACCUUUUCGUGGGGGAUAACGUAGGGAAACUUACGCUAAUACCGCAUACGCCCUUCGGGGGAAGCCGGGGAUCGCAAGACCUGGCGCGGAUAGAUGAGCCGAUGUCGGAUUAGCUAGUUGGUGAGGUAAUGGCUCACCAAGGCGACGAUCCGUAGCUGGUCUGAGAGGAUGAUCAGCCACACUGGAACUGAGACACGGUCCAGACUCCUACGGGAGGCAGCAGUGGGGAAUAGUUGGACAAGUGGGCGCAAGCCUGAUCCAGCCAUACCGCGGUGGGUGAAGGAAGGUACCGUUCGGGUUCGUAAAGU
RNAcentral lists this ribosomal RNA (416 nucleotides) under uncultured soil bacterium. Its description in RNAcentral is "bacterial SSU rRNA". It matches the Rfam family "Bacterial small subunit ribosomal RNA", at positions 26 to 431 of the family's 1533-position model. The record is from RNAcentral.